Long non-coding RNA from Mustela erminea (ermine), 958 nucleotides. RefSeq lists it as uncharacterized. NCBI's taxonomy places the organism in Eukaryota, Metazoa, Chordata, Mammalia, Carnivora, Mustelidae. The transcript is spliced from 4 exons. The record is from RefSeq and is a predicted model, not a curated record.
UGACACCAACAGAGCAGAGUGAAAAACAUUAACAAGAGUACUUAAGGAGAUACAGAAAGGGUCUAAGCCAGCACACCAGGGUCUUAGGGUCUCGUGUGGCAGAGGAUUCUGAGAUAAAACUCAACAGCCCAGCUGCACCGUAAAGCCUCAAAGGUGUCAUUAAACUGAAGAACGCAGCUGAAAUAGCAGAACAUUGAGGUCAAGACCGGGAAAAGUUCAAAGUCUAGUAGAAGGAAAGGAGCAGAGGUUGAAGUAACAAAUAUUAUAGUCAAUGAGAAAUCAAGGAAAGGGUGCUGAACUCCUCAGCUGGCUCUGUUCGGGACAUAGGAAACAGAGCAGCCAUGGAAGGGGAGGCACAAGGAAAAUCAAGUCAUUGAAGUUGUCAGAAAGUGGAGUGAAAAGACCAUGAGAAUAGAAGUCCAUGGAAUCUAAAACAACAAUGAAAUCUUGCCAAAGGUGAUGUGUCUCUUCUGUGAUAUGCAGUUUUGGUUAACAAUGUUGCUCUACAUCACUACAGUAUUUUUUUCUGAAACAUCAGAAUCUAUUUUUUUUGUGCUAAAGUUUACAUUCAGGGAAAGGAAGAAUGUUCACAGUGAGCAUGAAGCAUGUGGAGGCUUUGUCAGUCCUUGGCAAGGAUUUUAGAGAUUGCCUUUGUGUCUUGUAAGUGAGCAUGUGAGAGGGAAUAUAAGUGGGGUCUUCAGAGAAUCCAGUGUUCUGUCUAGUUUGUGGAUUUUAAGGCUAUACUUCCAUGAUUUACCUCUGGGACAAUUUAUUAAAUAUUUUGUUUAAGAGAUAAUUUGAUUUGGAAGCUUCUGCAGAAGAAUGAAAAACACUGUCCAGCAGCCCUGAGAAAUCUUACUUCCAUUCUUUUGGUGCCUCUCAGAGGCAUUCAAGGUGCCUCUCAAUGAACAAUAUUGUUUAAGUCAAAUGCUCCUCAGAGGGGUCAUCAAAGGCUCAA